Molecule: ribosomal RNA, 723 nt
Filed under: Triticum aestivum (bread wheat)
Lineage: Eukaryota; Viridiplantae; Streptophyta; Magnoliopsida; Poales; Poaceae
Description: partial small subunit ribosomal RNA
Source: RNAcentral
AUGAUGGAGAAGAUGAAGACAGUGCGGGACACCAGCCAGGCCGCCUACGAUGCCAGCUCGGCUCUCCAAAGCAACGUUCAGAAAUCUUGUGAUCUUGGAACUCGCUUUGCUGACUUGGAGAAACAACAGAUUCAACUGAACCUUGACUUGGAGCUGGCCAAGACAGAGCUGCAAAAGGUCAAGGACGGCGCCACUGCUCUGGCGAAGAAGGAUCAAGAUUUGGCUGCUGCUCGAAAGGAGGCUAACGACAGGACCGCUCUGGCUGAACAGAAACUGGCUUCGGUUGGCCAGUUGGAAGAAGAGAAUACCAAGCUGAAAUCUGCUCUGAACGAAGCCAACAAGGAGUGCUCGCGCUGGAAGAAGGAGAACCUCAACCUGUGCGAGAAGAUGGAAGGCAUCGCUCGCAGGAGGGACGAUCUGGAGAGCUAUCUGAGGAUCCUUGCCAAGAAGUUGUUCAUCAAGCUUGAAGAAUUUUGCCAGGACUUCAAGGAGGAGACUGGGCGGAUCGAACCAGGUUUGGAUCCAAUCAAUUCUCCCGUGAAAGAUGAAACUGCCAUGAAUCUACUCCGACUGGAAUCCCGCAUCGACGGUGUCGUGGACUACUUGGCUCGACUGAAGGUUGCCAUGUCAUGGAUCGACCCGGCACUUCGGCCAGAGGCCACGCUCCAAGAUGAUCUUGAGUCCCUGAUGACUCGACUUAACGAAAUCCCUGACCGAGUGUAG